GUCUGGGUAGCCAAGUGGUAAGGCGUUGGUCUGCAAAACCAAAAAUCGUGGGUUCGAUUCCCACCCUGGACUCCA
Molecule: transfer RNA, 75 nt
Filed under: Cyanothece sp. SIO2G6
Lineage: Bacteria; Bacillati; Cyanobacteriota; Cyanophyceae; Gomontiellales; Cyanothecaceae
Description: tRNA-Cys
Rfam family: tRNA
About the family: Transfer RNA (tRNA) molecules are approximately 80 nucleotides in length. Their secondary structure includes four short double-helical elements and three loops (D, anti-codon, and T loops). Further hydrogen bonds mediate the characteristic L-shaped molecular structure. tRNAs have two regions of fundamental functional importance: the anti-codon, which is responsible for specific mRNA codon recognition, and the 3' end, to which the tRNAs corresponding amino acid is attached (by aminoacyl-tRNA synthetases). tRNAs cope with the degeneracy of the genetic code in two manners: having more than one tRNA (with a specific anti-codon) for a particular amino acid; and 'wobble' base-pairing, i.e. permitting non-standard base-pairing at the 3rd anti-codon position.
Source: RNAcentral